AGUAUUCUUGUACAUAUAAAUUACAAUGUUAACAUGUUAUUAAUAGAUGGCGUUAAUGGCGCGAACCAAUUUGUUCCUUGGCGCAAACAUAGAUGGCGCAAAGAAAAAAAAACUUUAAUUCGUAAAUAAAGAAGUCGGUUAACUAAAUAAAUAAAUAUAUAACAAAUUAAUUAAAUAAUCAUUAAAUAACUUAAUAUAAAAAAGGGGAAAUAUAUAAACCCUUAAAAAACUUAACCUCAAGUACAUAAUCUGUGCCUCAAGUAAAUUAUAAAUGUAUUGCCAUAAUCUCACCAGAGCGUUACGGAAGUGACAUGAAUCCAGUAAUACAAGAUAGAUUCAAACUAAUAGAAUCCGAUAUUACCCACACCUAGUUUCUAACUGGACUGAGCGAAAAUGGCGCCGGCUGAGCAUCGCACCGUCAAAGAUCAUGCGUGAAUUCACAGGAUCACGCCUCCCUCCAUAACGGACCCUCACCCCAGGCCUUUAGAAUCGUAAGCAUGAGACGGGAAGACUUUUGCUGUUAAGGAAGAUAAUAAUAAGGGGGGUAAUAAUAUCUUUGUUUAUUCUUGCUGACAAAUUGGGUGGGGAGGUAAAAAGCCCCAAGGAAGUGGUCACUCCUACACCAACGGGAAUGAGAUGUGGUAGAAUGUAUGUAUGUAUCACUAACCCCAGGCCA
Molecule: long non-coding RNA, 676 nt
Organism: Bicyclus anynana (squinting bush brown)
Lineage: Eukaryota; Metazoa; Arthropoda; Insecta; Lepidoptera; Nymphalidae
Exons: 3
Source: RefSeq, a predicted model, not a curated record